GGAAUAGCUCAAUGGUAGAGUUCAUGCUUGGCAUGUAUGAAGCCAUGGGUUCAAUCCCCACCAGAUCCA
RNAcentral lists this transfer RNA (69 nucleotides) under Ictidomys tridecemlineatus (thirteen-lined ground squirrel). RNAcentral's name for it is "Spermophilus tridecemlineatus (thirteen-lined ground squirrel) tRNA". It matches the Rfam family "tRNA". From Rfam's summary of the family: Transfer RNA (tRNA) molecules are approximately 80 nucleotides in length. Lineage: Eukaryota; Metazoa; Chordata; Mammalia; Rodentia; Sciuridae. The record is from Rfam by way of RNAcentral.